AUGGCCCAGCCUCUGUUCCGGAAAACUUUCUCCCGGCUGAGGGGCAAGGAGCGCCUGGGACGCAAGGAGGCGCCGCCGCGCCAAGAACCAGAUCCUCUGUUGGAGUCACCAGCUGCUUCUGCAUCCUUUCUUGAACAUGAGCAAGUGGGGCCUUCGCUCCCACUGGAGGAGGGUGGAGGCAGCAAGAAAGGGGCCACUAUCACUGUGUCGAGGAAGCAAAACUGGGCCAAGUUCACCUGGGGUAGCCAAGAAGAUUCUCGCAGUAGGAAGCUCUGCCAGAAUUCUUUCAGCACGCCAUCGGGUCCUGCUCCCCUUAAUGAUGCAUCAUCCCCGCAGAGCCUUCUCGGUGCUGCCUCAGAGGCACCUGUUUCAAAAGAAGCUGGUGAAUCUCCCGUUAGCUGCCCAGAGAUUUCCAGUUCUAGUGUCAGCACCAAGCACAGCAGCCAAGGCGCUUAUCUGCAGAGCCUGGAAAGGAGCAGCCGGCACUGGGUGCUGUCCUCAGGGAAGACCCAGGGCCAGGAAGAGUCACUCCCUUCUGCUGGCUCUGGCACGGAGCUGAAGGAACUCAACAUGCUCUGCGGUAGUAAGGGGGAAAUCUGGUACAACCCCAUCCCAGAAGAUGAGGAUCCACAGCUCCCUUGCCUUGAUCGGAAGUGGGGCAGCAGUGUCAAGCACCAGGAUCAGAAGAGGAAGCCUAAGGACAUCAACGCUGCACAUGAGGUUGUCCACCUCGGUGUCUCACAGCAAGCAGGAAGUAGUGGUUUGAAGACUUCACCAACCCGAGUGAGACCUGUUAAGCUGGCUGAGGAGAUCAGCAUCCCCCAGCUCCAGACCUCUGGUGAGAGCUAAUUGUCCUUAAAUGGUCCUUGUAUGUUUCGUGUAGAUGUGUCGAACCCCAGUCCACUCCUAUGGCAGCCCUGAAUGAUUUUCCAUGCAGCAAAAUUGAUAAAUAUCUGGGUGGUGGGAGAAUCCUCACAACUGGUAUUGCAGUUGGUAGCCCUGAGACUACAGUGGUGCCUCGCUUAGCGAUCGCUGCAUUGAGCGACAAAAUCACUUUGCGACGGGGGUUUUGCGAUCGCUUUUGCGAUCGCUUUGCGGGGGUUUUGCGAUUGCUUUGCGAUGGUCCCUAUGGGUUUUUUUCGCUUUGCUAUGACCGCGGGGAAGCGAUCAUCGCAAAGCCCCUAUUUUCGACCAGCAGGUUUCAAAAUGACCGCCGGAAAAACAAAAGCCAGCAGGUUUCAAAAUGACCGCCGGAAAAACAAAAUGGCCACCUGCUGUUUUGCCUCGCUUAAGAGGCAGUGAAAAUAGCGGCGCUAUGGAGGAUUUUCGCUAAAGGUGAGUUUUUAAGCCCAUAGGAACGCAUUGAUUGCUUUUUAAUGCGUUUCUAUGGGUUUUUAAAAUUUCUCUUAGCGAUGAAAUUGCUUAGCAAUGUUUUCCCCCUGAACGGAUUAACGUCUCUAAGUGAGGCACCGCUGUAUUGGGAAAUGGGAGAGGUCAAAGCUCUCUGGAUGUCUGUAUCUCUGUCAUUAAUAUGGUAAUGUCAGUUUGGUUUCUGGAGUCUUGAGUUGUGAUGGCAUCCAUACAGUGUGGCUUUUUAAAAUUUCUCUUAGCGAUGAAAUUGCUUAGCAAUGUUUUCCCCCUGAACGGAUUAACGUCUCUAAGUGAGGCACCGCUGUAUUGGGAAAUGGGAGAGGUCAAAGCUCUCUGGAUGUCUGUAUCUCUGUCAUUAAUAUGGUAAUGUCAGUUUGGUUUCUGGAGUCUUGAGUUGUGAUGGCAUCCAUACAGUGUUCAUGUCAGCACUGGUGAUUCAUUUUACAUACUACAGGUAUCUGUAACGUUUUACAGUGGA
Pogona vitticeps (central bearded dragon) is the source of this 1849-nucleotide long non-coding RNA. The record is from Ensembl. Lineage: Eukaryota; Metazoa; Chordata; Lepidosauria; Squamata; Agamidae.